This 468-nucleotide ribosomal RNA is filed under the name uncultured bacterium. RNAcentral's name for it is "partial 16S ribosomal RNA". It matches the Rfam family "Bacterial small subunit ribosomal RNA", at positions 28 to 507 of the family's 1533-position model. The record is from RNAcentral.
GACGAACGCUGGCGGCGUGCUUAACACAUGCAAGUCGAGCGGAAAGACCCUGCGUUUGUGGGGUGCUCGAGUGGCGAACGGGGGAGUGAAACGUGAGUAACCUGCACUUGACUUUGUGGUAACUUCACGGAAAUGGGGCGAAUACCGGGUAGGAGCUCCUGCUGCAUGGUGUGGAUUGGAAAGUGUCGGCGGUGGGGGAUGGACUCGCGGCUUAUCAGCUUGUUGGUGGGGUAGUGGCUUACCAAGGCUUUGAAGGGUAGCCGGCCUGAGAGGGUGACCGGCGACAUUGGGACUGAGAUACGGCGCAGACUCCUAUGGGACGCAGCAGUCGGGAAUAUUGCACAAUGGGCGGAAGUCUGAUGCAGCAAUGUCGCGUGCGGGAUGACGGGCUUCGGGUGGUAAACCGCUUUCGCAUGUGACGAAGCGUGAGUGACGGUAAUGGGUAAAGAAGCACCGGCUAACUACGUG